AUUGAACGCUGGCGGCAUGCUUUACACAUGCAAGUCGAACGGUAACAGGCCGCAAGGUGCUGACGAGUGGCGCACGGGUGAGUAAUGCAUCGGAACGUGCCCAGUCGUGGGGGAUAACUACUCGAAAGAGUAGCUAAUACCGCAUACGAUCUAUGGAUGAAAGCGGGGGACCGUAAGGCCCCGCGCGAUUGGAGCGGCCGAUGUCAGAUUAGGUAGUUGGUGGGGUAAAGGCUCACCAAGCCAACGAUCUGUAGCUGGUCUGAGAGGACGACCAGCCACACUGGGACUGAGACACGGCCCAGACUCCUACGGGAGGCAGCAGUGGGGAAUUUUGGACAAUGGGCGCAAGCCUGAUCCAGCAAUGCCGCGUGCAGGAAGAAGGCCUUCGGGUUGUAAACUGCUUUUGUACGGAACGAAACGGCUCUGGUUAAUACCCGGGGCUAAUGACGGUACCGUAAGAAUAAGCACCGGCUAACUACGUG
RNAcentral lists this ribosomal RNA (482 nucleotides) under uncultured bacterium. RNAcentral's name for it is "partial 16S ribosomal RNA". It matches the Rfam family "Bacterial small subunit ribosomal RNA", at positions 30 to 507 of the family's 1533-position model. The record is from RNAcentral.